AGGGGUAUAGCUCAAUUGGUAGAGUAGUGGACUCCAAAUCCAUUGGUUCAGCGUUCGAGUCGUUGUGCCCCUGCCA
RNAcentral lists this transfer RNA (76 nucleotides) under Bacillota bacterium. RNAcentral describes it as "Firmicutes bacterium (gut metagenome) tRNA-Trp". It matches the Rfam family "tRNA". From Rfam's summary of the family: Transfer RNA (tRNA) molecules are approximately 80 nucleotides in length. Their secondary structure includes four short double-helical elements and three loops (D, anti-codon, and T loops). Further hydrogen bonds mediate the characteristic L-shaped molecular structure. tRNAs have two regions of fundamental functional importance: the anti-codon, which is responsible for specific mRNA codon recognition, and the 3' end, to which the tRNAs corresponding amino acid is attached (by aminoacyl-tRNA synthetases). tRNAs cope with the degeneracy of the genetic code in two manners: having more than one tRNA (with a specific anti-codon) for a particular amino acid; and 'wobble' base-pairing, i.e. permitting non-standard base-pairing at the 3rd anti-codon position. The record is from RNAcentral. Lineage: Bacteria; Bacillati; Bacillota. RNAcentral also lists the same sequence under 2 other names.